Carya illinoinensis is the source of this 4376-nucleotide RNA transcript. It is a transcript of the gene named carbon catabolite repressor protein 4 homolog 6, with no coding region annotated. Lineage: Eukaryota; Viridiplantae; Streptophyta; Magnoliopsida; Fagales; Juglandaceae. The transcript has 16 exons. The record is from RefSeq and is a predicted model, not a curated record.
ACGAAAAAAAAAUAUAAAAAAAAAAGACAAGGUCGGUGUGCUGCAUGGAGGAGGGUGCCCACCCUUGACCCUAGACUCGCUCGGUCACUGCAACGGUAACUGUCUUUCUUUCGAUGAGGCGUUUCCGCCCUGCUGCUGCCAACGACAUCUCCUCAACCACCAUGUCUUCUCGCCCUACCUCCCGAGGUGGUCGCUGGAGGGGCUUCUCCGACCGUUCUCACACCGGAGGGAGAGGCCAAGGGGACCAUUUCGUGACUGGAGACUCGCACUUCCGCUCAGUACGCGACGCCAACCUAGGGUUCCGCCGAGGUGAUUUGGCAAGUUUCGCCGACCAAACCGGGUUUCGCCCUCCACCUCUCAACCCUAGACCACAUCCGUAUACUCAAAACGCACAGUUUCGUCAGCCGCCUCCUCCCCCUUACAACAAUCAAAACCAACGGUACAGGCAGCCUCCACCUUAUAAUAAUCAAAGCCAGCAGUUUCGGCAGCAUUUGCGGUUCGAUCCGAACCAGGCGUUUCGUCCACCACAGCAAUUCCGGCCGAAGCCCUUGGAUUAUCGGAAUUGGGAGUAUGCGACGCAGGCACCCUCUCCUAAUUGUGAGAGGUUUGUGGUUCUUUCGUAUAACAUAUUGGCUGACUACCUUGCUAUUAACCACCGGAGCAAGCUUUACUUUCACAUACCCCGUCAUAUGUUGGACUGGGAGUGGAGAAAGAAAAAUAUACUUUUUGAGCUUGGAUUAUGGUCAGCUGACGUAAUGUGCUUCCAGGAGGUUGAUAGAUUUCAGGAAUUAGAAGAGGAGUUGAAGCUUAGGGGGUACAGUGGCAUUUGGAAGAUGCGUACUGGCACUCCAGUUGAUGGCUGUGCAAUCUUUUGGCGAAUGUCAAGAUUCAAGUUGCUUCAUGAGGAAUGCAUCGAGUUCAAUAAGCUUGGACUUAGGGAUAAUGUUGCUCAGAUAUGUGUGCUGGAGUUGGUGAAUAAAAAUUCAAGUGAAGAGACUUUAGCUCUACCAAUAAGCUCAAAAGGUUCCAGUAAGGUUGUCGUAUGUAAUAUCCAUGUGCUUUACAAUCCAAAAAGAGGAGAAAUUAAGCUUGGCCAGGUCAGGGCGCUCCUAAAUAGGGCCCAUUCUGUUUCAAAACUCUGGGAUGAUGCUCCAGUUGUUAUAUGUGGGGAUUUUAAUUGUACCCCCAAGAGUCCAUUGUACAACUUUAUUUCUGGAAGGAAGCUAGAUUUGUCUGGAGUGGGUAGAGAUAAGGUGUCAGGACAAGCUACUGCAGAAAUAUCUGCACAAAGGUCAUAUAAUUCUAAUUAUGGGACCAGGUCUGCUAAUAAUUCGAGUAAUGAUCCAUCAUUGACAGAUAGAACGGAAAUUGACAACAAGGUCAGUGUUUCGGUUUCAGAUAAGAAGCUGGAUGAUCUAGACUGCACUGAGGAUAGUGUUCCAGGAAUGAGCAACUCACAGCUUGAACGUGUUAACACUGUCUUGGAUCCAUCUGAUGAAUCUUGCUCUGACAUGCAAAGCCGAAGCGAAAAGGAUGGUGGGGCAUUGCAGAAUGAAGCGAGAAAAGAAACUCAGCAGAGUGCUGUGGAUGGCUUUAAGGAGUUAUAUGAAUCAAGUUCUCGUGAUGCAGUUGAUGGAUCCAGGGGAGACUCAAGUGCUUCUCACAGUGAAGGUGGGUUUUCUGAUAAAUAUACUCAUCCAGUAGCUUCUGAUCACGAAGAAGUUUACUCUAAUGUUAUUCACAGUGGAUACAGUGAAGAAGUAAAUGACCCCCCUCAUUCACAUGAUGGAUCAUUAAGUGAAUAUGCUGAGUCCAAUGACAAUGUAGAAAAUGUAGUUGAAGUCUUUCCUCCAGGCAAUCCAUCAUCCCAUCCAGUUGGGAAUGAUGAUUAUGCUAGCUCUCUGAGCCAAUAUCAAGCCAGCAUUUCAUGCCCAUCUACUAGCAUUGACUUUAUAGCAGAUGAGAAACUGGAGAAUUUAUCUCAAAAUGGGCCUGAUAAAGCCGUGGCAGAAGAUGGAGAUGUAGGUGAAGAUGAAAGCACAUUUUUAUCUUCAUUGCAUGACACUGAAGAUGUCUUCCGAUCUGAUUUUGAUCAAUUAAGAUCAAACCUUGCAGUAUCAGAUCAGUCCAAGGAGCUUGAGUCCUUUCCCCACAAUUCACCGUCAAAUUCACUAAGCAAUGAAAUUGAGAAUGAUUUAUCCCCAAGCUUGGAUUAUGUGCCUGUUGCUAUGGAAAACACUGCUUAUGAUCCUUCAUCAUGGACUCCAAUGGAAAUAGAAAUGGCUACGGGCAAUGCAGACUGCACCCUUUUGGACCACCCUCUAAUGCUCAGUAGCACAUACACAGAGGUUAAGGAUUGUUCAGGGACUAGAGACUCAAAUGGGGAGCCCUUAGUUACCAGUUACAACAGGUGUUUUCUGGGCACGGUUGAUUACAUAUGGCGUUCUGAAGGUCUCCAGACUGUUCGGGCUCUUGCUCCAAUACCAAAUCAUGCAAUGCAAUGGACUCCGGGGUUCCCAACGAAGAAAUGGGGUAGUGAUCAUAUUGCACUGGCUGCUGAAUUGGUGCUUGUGAAAGAUGGGGAGUAAUCACAACACAGAAUCUCUCUUGAUAUUUGAGGUUUAGAAAGUUGUGGGACUGGUGCACCAGCUCAUCCAAUGUUUUUUCACCCCAUAGCAGCAAGAUUUGGCUUGUGGAGAGGUCUGCAGUUUUAAGAAGGCUACGGUAACAACGAAACGAGAAUGGUACUAAUAGCUAGGCCUGCAACUCGGGCUGUGUUUGGACCUGACCUGACCCGAUCCAAUUCUCAGAAGAAUAAAACACAACUCAAUCCGACUAAAGUCGGAUCAACCCGACUUCACUCAGAAUAUCAGAAUAGGCACAAAACUCGCCGGUUCUCCACCACGAACUUGGUGUAGCAGAAAACAUACAGUAUAGUGGAUACGCCGGCCGAACAAUAAGACGACGACAACCUGCGUUUUCCUUGGCCUCGUACCCUGUAAGAACGAAGACAUUACCGCCAAUGACACACUGAUGAGGAACCACAUGAGGUCCCACCACGUGAACGUCUUCUUCAUCUCAUGCUGGCUUCGAGCCUUCCGUCGAGUCCAUGAACCGAGUCAAGACCCGAUCCCUCAACUUCAACAAAGUCUCCAUGAGCGCCCUCCCAUAUUUUCCCUAGCUCUGAAACCAUCUCUUGGGGAGAACUCAUCCCACCACGUGAACGUCUUCUUCAUCUCAUGCGGGCUCCGAGCCUUUCGUCGAGUCCAUGAAUCGAGUCAAGAUCCGAUCUCUCAACCUCAACAAAGUCUCCAUGAGGGCCCUCCCAUAGUUUCCCCAUCUCAGAAAGAAUCUCUUGACUUGUUGGCACGAACACCCUCCUUCUUGAAAAUUUGAGAUCUAAAAAGAAAAUAAAGAAGACGAAGACGGGUUGAGCAAAUUGUACGGGUUGAAUCCGAUCACUAGCCAAAACCGUUCUUCUUGAAUCAGGUCGGGUCGGUGUUCACGGACGGGCUGGGUCGCUCAGUUUCCUGUACAGGCCUACUAAUAGCGUGCUAAGUAAUGUACUCAUGAUAUAUUUAUAACUUCUCUUUAUAAUUUUGAUAUAAUUGUGUUGAAUUGAGAAUAUUUAUAUAAAGGAAUGAUAUUUUUGAAGUUGUUUUAUAUAAAAAAAAAAAAAAAUUAUUUAAAAUAUUGUUGUAAAAAUAUAAAAAAAAAAAGUUAAAAGUGAAUCAUUUUCCUAGCUGAGGUCGGGGCCGUACAGGUAUCUUUCCUUUACAGCACUGAUGCAGACUGGGAGCAAAAAGCGCUAUGUAUUGUCAAUGAUCUUUACGGGGUCCACAUGCAAUUCAUUUCUGCGGGAUUUACGUAAUGCAAUGAUUUAUUGCCCGAAAAAUAAAUAAAAGAAAGGACAGGACACUCCCUUUUUUUAGGGCAAUUGUAUCAUUUGCAUGGAAGAAUACCGACGUACUUUUCGUAUUCUUCUUUUUAAUUUUCAGGUAGAGAAAUGAUAGUCUACCGAGCAUUUGCACCGAUUGGUGUAUUUUUAUUUUUAAUUUUUUUAAUGUUAAGAAAUACAUUGAAAAAAAAAAUAAAAAAAUAAAACAAUAAGAAAGGGAGUCAUAUUAAAUUGUCCGAUUUGAUUUGGCUGAUGGGUUGGUGGUAAGGUUUUGGAUGGUCUGAAUCUUUUUUCUUUUUACUUUUUUAAAUUACCAAGUGUUAAAUAGGUCUUAUUGAUUGAAGAUUCAUGGGACCGCUGCUCAGAAAAAAGUAAAAAAAGAAAGAAAAAGAAAAAGGGCAAAACAAUAAAGAAACAACGACGACGACAACAAAACCAACAGAGAUAACAGGUUCGUCCCAAAAAAAAAAAAAAAACA